CGACAAUUCACCCCUUUGCCUUUUUGUCAACUGUAUUAAACUCGAAAAGAAGAAACUCCUGUUAUGUCAUUUAGUCUGGCCGGUCACCUGUCUCUCCAAGGAUUAAACUGACGUCAGAAGUUAGCUGGCUGAGCUAACUGGCGAAAAUGCUCUCGCGCAUGCUAGGACUGCUAAUCAACAACCUCCACCUGGUCGAAAAAUUAGCAGAGUCUCGGCCGAUUCGCAGGGCGGCCCAGAUCACAGCUUACGCCAUCACUAAGGCUCAGAUAGUCGGCCAGGAUACGUCGAAGCGGGUCCUCCAGUCGGAGACCCUGCGGCAGGUCCGACAAGAGGCCGGCAAAGUCCCGAGUGACUUGGGAGAGAUAAACAACCGCCUCCGGAGAGUACGAAAUACCUUCGUGGAGGAAGUAAAGGAGGGAUGGAAGGAGGGAUCUGGAAGGAUCAAGAAAUAAACUACCUUGAACUGAGAUAAAAUGGAGACACAAAACAAGCUGCUGAUCAUCUAGAGAGAGCAAUACUCUGUCCAGCAGACAUGUCAGCUCUCUAAACAGUUCUCUGAAGCAAAACAGGAAGUAGUUUAUGGAUAUUAAAUGAUUAAUGCACCUUUUAAUAUGUGUCUUUAUUGCCGACUUAAAUUUUUUAUUGCCCUUCCUCAGUGGGCUUGUAAACAACUCUGCCAACAAACCUGAGUUCUGUUUUUGUUCAUGUAAAACACAUGUACAGAGAUGUUAUGUACAUACAAUAAGAAUGAAGCUAUGUUCACUAUAAUAAAUUGUUUAAUUUAAA
Molecule: long non-coding RNA, 786 nt
Organism: Oryzias latipes (Japanese medaka)
Lineage: Eukaryota; Metazoa; Chordata; Actinopteri; Beloniformes; Adrianichthyidae
Source: RefSeq, a predicted model, not a curated record